AUUGAACGCUGGCGGCAGGCCUAACACAUGCAAGUCGAGCGGAUGAAGGGAGCUUGCUCCUGGAUUCAGCGGCGGACGGGUGAGUAAUGCCUAGGAAUCUGCCUGGUAGUGGGGGAUAACGUUCGGAAACGGGCGCUAAUACCGCAUACGUCCUGAGGGAGAAAGUGGGGGAUCUUCGGACCUCACGCUAUCAGAUGAGCCUAGGUCGGAUUAGCUAGUUGGUGGGGUAAAGGCCUACCAAGGCGACGAUCCGUAACUGGUCUGAGAGGAUGAUCAGUCACACUGGAACUGAGACACGGUCCAGACUCCUACGGGAGGCAGCAGUGGGGAAUAUUGGACAAUGGGCGAAAGCCUGAUCCAGCCAUGCCGCGUGUGUGAAGAAGGUCUUCGGAUUGUAAAGCACUUUAAGUUGGGAGGAAGGGCAGUAAGUUAAUACCUUGCUGUUUUGACGUUACCAACAGAAUAAGCACCGGCUAACUUCGU
This 483-nucleotide ribosomal RNA is filed under the name uncultured bacterium. Its description in RNAcentral is "partial 16S ribosomal RNA". It matches the Rfam family "Bacterial small subunit ribosomal RNA", at positions 30 to 506 of the family's 1533-position model. The record is from RNAcentral.